RNAcentral lists this ribosomal RNA (423 nucleotides) under uncultured prokaryote. Its description in RNAcentral is "bacterial SSU rRNA". It matches the Rfam family "Bacterial small subunit ribosomal RNA", at positions 355 to 774 of the family's 1533-position model. The record is from RNAcentral.
UGAGGAAUAUUGGUCAAUGGGCGCAAGCCUGAACCAGCAAUCCCGCGUGCAGGAAGACGGCCCUAUGGGUUGUAAACUGCUUUUCCAGGGAGAGAAACUUGCGUACGCGUUGCGCAAUUGACGGUACCCUGGGAAUAAGAAUCGGCUAACUCCGUGCAAGCAGCCGAGGUAAUACGGAGGAUGCGAGCGGUAUACGGAUUCAUUGGGGUUAAAGGGUGCGUAGGCGGACUAUUAAGUCAGUGGUGAAAUCCUGCAGCUUAACUGCAGAACUGCCAUUGAUACUGAUAGCCGUGAGUUUGGUUAAGGUAGGCGGAAUGUGUAAUGUAGCGGUGAAAUGCUUAGAUAUUACACAGAACACCAAUUGCGUAGGCAGCUGACUGAGCCGACACUGACGCUGAGGCACGAAAGCGUGGGGAUCGAACA